RNAcentral lists this non-coding RNA (21 nucleotides) under Caenorhabditis elegans. The record is from RNAcentral. Lineage: Eukaryota; Metazoa; Nematoda; Chromadorea; Rhabditida; Rhabditidae.
UAAAUCCUUCGUUUAAAUUGU